ACAUAUAUAUCCAAUUUUGGCUAUGGAUAGUCGCUUUAAAAGUUUCCACCAAAUUAUUGAAGUAUUUUUACGUGAUAUACGACAUCUUGUUAAAAAAAAAGACAGAGAAAAUAUUCGGUUUUUAUUCGAGGCACGUCGAUUAUAUUGGGUACACUAAUAGUCUCUACGCAUGUUUACUAUAGCGGCUAGGAAAAUUAAGCUGAUUAGCACCAGUUGAAUGUCAAUGUUACAGAAACUUGCAUAGGAGGUUUAUAAAAGGUUUAAAGACUUCACAACAUUUCUCCAGUCACAGCUUACGUAUUUUCGUAUCAAGAAUUGCGCAUGGUUAUACAGCUUUUUGUAACUGUGAUUAAUCAUUGCAUUUCUGGUAAAAGUUAUCUGGAAUCUUGUGCUAUAUCGUUAUUUGACCAUGUAAACAUUUAUAAUAUGCGGCUUAACAGAAGAGCUUGGAACCAAACAGCCUGCAGAUAUCUUAAAAGAUUAGAAUGAUGUCUGAUUUUAUUUGGCACAGUUUAAAAUGCUGUUACCCAUGUUAUGUUGACUUCACCGUGUUAAAGAUCUAUUAUGUAAAUCUGCCUAAUGCAGAUCUUUCGUUUGGCCUUAGAUGUUAUAUAAAUCCUUAAUUAGACAUUUAUUCACAUGUCAAGCCCAAAAUCAACCCUCCAGUUCAUCGGAGGGUUUAGUUUUUCAACGGAUUUAAACACGAUUGUCAGUUAAUGAUUUAAUGAAAAAAUGGAUUAUCGAGACUUUGUUUAUUAAUCAUCGUAACAGCGGUAGCAAUGACAACCGAGACUAAACUGUUCUUCAAACGACCAUAACUCCGCUCAGCAUGAAGUAAUUUGACUAAAAUUUUCAACAUAUUCCCUUUCCAUAAUCUAUUUUUUAACACUAUUAUAGCGAGAACUGACAGUUCUUUAUCUAAAUAUUACAUAAUGCAUCUUUAAGCAACUUAGAACUGGUGAAGUUUUUCUUUGUAUUUACAUAAAGGACAGUCUGAGGCUAUUAUCAAACUUAAAACAUAGCACCAUAGAGAUACAAAUAAUGGAUAGUUUUAUAAAACAACAAGCCAUAAAAAUAUUAAAAAUAAUGGAUAUAUUCUCAAAACAACAUGCACAUGCUCAUGAACGCAUGUGACAAAAAACUCCAGUCAUACAAAGCAAGCAUACACGGACAGUCCAAAAUAUUCUACAUGGAGACAACAUGUUUACAACACCAGUCGAAAACAAAUACAUGUAUUAAUAAUGAGAAUAUAUUAUGUGAUAAGCAUUUAUGUGAUAAGCAUUUGGAUACUGAUUACAUUGGUAAUGUACUCGAUAUGGAAGAUAAUAGCCGUAAAAAUUGUGAUGUUCUUGAUGUGGGGGGUAAUAGCCGCCAAAGUUGUGAUGGAAAGGCUGCUCACGAGAAUAAUUUAGAUAUUGAUAAUUUUCUUAAUACUGUGGUUAAUAUGGAGGGUACUAGCCGUCCCAAUUUCGAUUUAAAAUUUAAUAUAUACUCUGAUAUAAGUGACAUUACACAGGAUCAAAGGCACAAACCAAUUCACGAAAUUCAAACUCAACUGUCAUUAUGGUGUAAUGGUGAUAUAUUUGAACGUUUUUUAUAAUCGGAUAAAAAUUGUGACCUGCAUAGGUUCCACAGGCUCAAAACACGUUUUUUUUUUGUUCAACCCGGGCCCAUAAUCCAGGAAGUUACGGUACGAUGCACCAAUAUCGCAAGGAAUCGAUAUCUUUGGAUUAUAAACACACAUGUUCAGUUUCACCAAAAUGGGCUAAUAAUUGUGACCUCUAGUGUGUACAGUCAGGGGCCGUAAUCCACGGUCCCAUACAAGCCAAUAUCGAAAGGAACCGAGAUCUUUGGGAUAUAUACCUAUAUUUCAAGUUAUGACCUGUAGAGUGUCCACAAAGAAGAUGUGAAAAUGUGGGCGUAUAAAAACGUAUCAUCGAUCUAGUGCCGAACGUAUUACACGGAUAAGUGACAUAUAACGGACGGAUUUAAGUGGAAUUCUUUAUGUAGACAAACACGUGAAAUCAACAUUCGGUCAUGUGACAUUUCGGUAACUAU
Long non-coding RNA from Patella vulgata (common limpet), 2058 nucleotides. RefSeq lists it as uncharacterized. The transcript has 3 exons. Lineage: Eukaryota; Metazoa; Mollusca; Gastropoda; Patellidae. The record is from RefSeq and is a predicted model, not a curated record.